UACGAACCGUGCGAACGUUGUUCGGAAUCACUGGGCUUAAAGGGCGCGUAGGCGGGCUGCCGCGUCCGGGGUGAAAUGCCACGGCUCAACCGUGGAACGGCCUCGGAUACGGGCGGGCUCGAGGGAGGUAGGGGCAUCGGGAACUGUGAGUGGAGCGGUGAAAUGCGUUGAUAUCGGAAGGAACGCCGGUGGCGAAAGCGACUUCCUGGACCAGUACCGACGUUCAGGCACGAAAGCGUGGGGAGCAAACAGG
Molecule: ribosomal RNA, 253 nt
Filed under: uncultured bacterium
Lineage: Bacteria
Description: partial 16S ribosomal RNA
Rfam family: Bacterial small subunit ribosomal RNA
Source: RNAcentral